This 376-nucleotide ribosomal RNA is filed under the name uncultured bacterium. RNAcentral describes it as "bacterial SSU rRNA". It matches the Rfam family "Bacterial small subunit ribosomal RNA", at positions 521 to 895 of the family's 1533-position model. The record is from RNAcentral.
UAAUACAGAGGUGGCAAGCGUUGUUCGGAAUUACUGGGCGUAAAGGGCGCGUAGGCGGCCUUCUAAGUCAGACGUGAAAUCCCCAGGCUUAACUUGGGAACUGCGUCUGAUACUGGGAGGCUUGAGUGCGGGAGAGGGAUGUGGAAUUCCAGGUGUAGCGGUGAAAUGCGUAGAUAUCUGGAGGAACACCGGUGGCGAAGGCGGCAUCCUGGACCGACACUGACGCUGAGGCGCGAAAGCCAGGGGAGCAAACGGGAUUAGAUACCCCGGUAGUCCUGGCCCUAAACGAUGAGUGCUUGGUGUGGCGGGUAUCGAUCCCUGCCGUGCCGAAGCUAACGCAUUAAGCACUCCGCCUGGGGAGUACGGUCGCAAGGCU